GGUAGGCGCGGAUGUUGGUGUGGAUCAGCACGUGUCUCUUCAUGUUGGCCAGCAGCGUGAACUCCCGCCCGCAGAUCCCGCACUUGUGCUCCUUCACGCCCUGGAAGGGGGCAAGAGGCGAAAGAACCGUGGUUAGCAGGACGGUCUGAGACUCCAGAAGUCGAGAUGGGAAAGGGCUUGAUGGCUAGUCUCCUCACUCUCCCCCAUUUCAAGGUGAGGAAGAAGAACGUCUGGGCUCAGGUGCUCCAGGCUGCGGUAGAACUGAAAGCCCACGUUGCACAGGUCGAUCAUCCGAGAGUCGUACUUGGGCCGUGGCGGCGGCGGCGGCGGCGGCGGCGGCAAGAGCAGCCGGAGUUCCGGGGGCCCGGGGUUCUUGCUCUCCUCCGGGUGCAGGGCAAGAGCGGCUUCUUCCGAGGGGUGGUUAUAGGGCAUCUUGGUGGGCAUGCUCUUCCGUUUGCGAGACCCUCCUCCUUCAAAGACCCCCGGGAAUCCGUCUAGGUCUCCUGGAGGAGGCUCAUACCGGAACUGGGAAAACGGCCCCCGGAGAGCUUCCUGGAAGGGGUGUCUUGGAGGAGCUCUUCCUCGGGAAACCACUGGCUGCAGGCCGUGGGGGAAGGAGGGGCCCCUCUUCGCACCCAAACUGAAAUGCACAUCCUCGUCUUUGACCAUCUUCAUUUCCUUCUGCAUCCUUGGCAAUUUUCCUUUAAAGAGAAAGAAACUUAUAGUUAAAAAAAAAAAAAAAUCCCUUUUUCCAUGAAGAGUUGUGGCUAGACGUCAGUACUAAUUUAUGAAGAGUAAUGUUUGUUUAAUACCGCUCCCCAUUUAUCCUAAGGCUGUUUAAAAUAUCAUAUUUUCCCCCUUGCAAACCCGGUUACUAAUGUGGAAAGCACUGGCCUCCUGGAGUGGGACCCUAGGGCUCCAGUGUAAAUCACAGCCACAAAACCAUAGCUGGGGGUGGAGGAGGGGAGGUAUGAGCGUGGGCUGGAUUGGGAGGAAACCUGAGACCUCAUCUGGCCAUUGUCCCCAUCUGAGAUGAGGGUACCAAGGCCCAGAGAGGUGAAGCAACGUGCUUGAGUCCCACAGCUACUCAGAGCAGGAGUCAGAACUGGGACACAUUCUUCUGCGACUUUUCAGCCUGAGAUGGAAUUGCAUCUGCCAAAUGGCGCUUUAAAUGUCUUUUAGGGUGUCAUUCAGAACAAAGCUUGGCCUUUGGUGUUGGUGACUCCUGUGGUGCCUGUCAUUUCCCUGCUGAACCAGUUACUGUGUCCUGGUGACAGCAUCAGACAAUGUUUUAUGUAGACAUUAGCAAUUAUCUUUGGGAGAGAAAAUGAUGAGUGCCUGCCCUGUAAUUCUUGGUGAGAGGUCAAACACCCAAAGGCGUGGAAGCCAGAAGAUCCAGCUUGUAAGGCAAGGGAACCUGAAGAUAUCAUAGAAGAGUUUGAAAUGUUGAAAAGAAAAAUCCUUUUGGGAGCUCUGAUAAUGAAGAUAAAGAGAAGGAAGAACUACUUGGACUUCCUUAACCCGGUGUCAAUGAGUGUUGAGACUGAAAAGGUUGUUACACAUUAUCCAGCUCCACCACACUUCCUUGUUGUAAGCUGAGGCACAGAGGAGUAAACUGACUUCCUCAAAUUCACACAGUUAAUUAACGACAAAGUAUUCAAUUUUAAAAUUUAAGAGGCUCUAUUUAAGAUAUUACUUAUUUUGUUUUUAAAGUUGUUUUAGAAGGACCUCUAUUUCCAGGGCUUUGUGCAUGGAUUUAAGGUCUGUGUCGCUGCUUUGAUGGUUUCGAGCUGUGCUGUCCUAUUCAGUGCUCAUCAGCCAUACGUGGCUCAUGAGCACAUGAAAUAUGACUAAUCUGAUUUGAGACAUGCUAUGCAUGUAAAACAUAUACUGGAUUUCAAAAAUUUGGCGAAGGAAAGGUAAAAUAUCUCAUUAAUUGUUAUUUUAUUGAUUAAUGUUAAAAUAACAUUUUUGAGUUAUUGGGUUAAAUAAAAUAGAUUUG
Balaenoptera acutorostrata (minke whale) is the source of this 2002-nucleotide long non-coding RNA. RefSeq lists it as uncharacterized. The transcript is spliced from 6 exons. NCBI's taxonomy places the organism in Eukaryota, Metazoa, Chordata, Mammalia, Artiodactyla, Balaenopteridae. The record is from RefSeq and is a predicted model, not a curated record.